CCUAGGUUUCUUUAUUAGUGUCAAUACUUAGCCAAAUUUUGGUUCUGGCAAAAAAAAUUAUUUCCAAAUCUUUCUCUCCUUCGAUGUUGCUUCUUCUAUCUCUCCGACAACCAUCAGCACCACAUUGUUUCUCCACAGCCGUCCUCCGCCUCCUCCACCUCCCGUUCCCUCUAACCCAGCUCACCCAAACCCUAACUCCAUCUCUGCCCGCAUCCAUGACGAUUUAGAUCCUCCGCUCUUAUUCUUUUUAAUUCCACUGGAGUUUUAUCAUCUCUGCCUAUUCGACUUAAGUGUAGAGAUGGAGACUCUAAGGAGAAAGAAAGAGCAUUACUCAAGCUUAUUCUUUGCAAUCCUCCUAACCUGCUAAGAAUCAUGACUUCCAGGGACUCGUCCCAGUGAGGGUGAAGAAAAUCACCGAGUCUUUUCAUUUCGGUGGUGAAAAAAUCUGAUAUCGUCAUCAAUGGAAUCAGACUCACAAACUUACAAUCUCUUCCAGAUUUCUCCGUCUUUUUUUUUAUUAUUCGUUACUUAGUUGUGUGGUGAUGUUUGGUCUUGUAACAAGUGUCACUUGUUGGGUUAGUUAGUGACAGAAGAAUUCUCCAAAGUCACUGAAGUUAGACUCUCUCUUGUUGAUGGAACAGGUGGUAUCGAUUAUAAAAGACGGGUGAAUGAAAGUUUUGACGCUAGAGAAAUGGAGUCAGUGCAGUGAUUAUACUAUCUCCUGGGUCUUCUUCUCUCACCUUUCUUGGUAAAGUUUGUGUUUUCAAAUAUUUUUUCUCUUGUGAAACAGAGAUGGAACUUAUGUGCGUCUCAAUUGUCAGGUCUCUGGCCCUCUUUGCUGCAGGUUGCUCCCUGAAUGCUGAAGAACUCGCUAUCUCGAAACUCGGUUUGCCUCGGUGAGUCUCUAGAGAAGCGUGGUAUCAGUCACCUCUUCCCGUUCAGAGGGAUCUGAUAGUUCAUGCGCUGCAAAAACGAGACAUCAUAGCUCGUGCAAAGACAUGACCUAGAAAGAAUUUAGCUUUCUCUAUCUUCAAACUCCUCCUGAACAAGCUGUAGACUACUCUGCUUUCAGUUUCAGAUAGAGGAGGCUUUACACGCCAGUAGUCUUCAAGUGCCUUGAAGGCA
Brassica napus (rape) is the source of this 1125-nucleotide long non-coding RNA. RefSeq lists it as uncharacterized. The record is from RefSeq and is a predicted model, not a curated record. NCBI's taxonomy places the organism in Eukaryota, Viridiplantae, Streptophyta, Magnoliopsida, Brassicales, Brassicaceae. The transcript has 6 exons.